RNAcentral lists this ribosomal RNA (411 nucleotides) under uncultured eukaryote. RNAcentral describes it as "SSU rRNA". It matches the Rfam family "Eukaryotic small subunit ribosomal RNA", at positions 567 to 990 of the family's 1831-position model. The record is from RNAcentral.
CCAGCAGCUGCGGUAAUUCCAGCUCCAAUAGCGUAUAUUAAAGUUGUUGCAGUUAAAAAGCUCGUAGUUGGAUUUCUGGUUAAAGGCGAGAGCGCACCUGUGUGAGGCUCGAGUCUUUUGCCAUCCUUCUGUUAACCUUACAUGGCAUUGAUUUGUCGGUUUGGGGCUCAGAUAUUUUACCUUGAGAAAAUUAGAGUGUUUCAGGCAGGCUUGUGCCCGGAUACAUUAGCAUGGAAUAAUGGAACAGGACUUUAGCCUCUUCUGUUGGUCUGAGGGGUUGGAGUAAUGAUUAAUAGGGAUAGUUGGGGGCAUUAGUACUUAACUGUCAGAGGUGAAAUUCUCGGAUUUGUUAAAGACUAACUUAUGCGAAAGCAUUUGCCAAGGAUGUUUUCAUUAAUCAAGAACGAAAGU